Molecule: long non-coding RNA, 8031 nt
Organism: Meriones unguiculatus (Mongolian gerbil)
Lineage: Eukaryota; Metazoa; Chordata; Mammalia; Rodentia; Muridae
Exons: 3
Source: RefSeq, a predicted model, not a curated record
CUGCCGUUUACCAAACGUCUGCGCGCAGAGAGGUCUCGGACUAGAUGAAUAAAUAACUCUGGCUGAGUGCCUCAUACUAGAGCUUGUGCAAGCUGGUGUAGCAGAAAUAGCUCAGGGUAGAAACUCCCAGAACGAGGCGCAAGCCAACUUCAUGGCCAGAAACGGGCUUUUCCUGGCUGGGGAAAGCUCCAAGGACUAAAAAGGUCUGCACGGUUGCUGGGGUUGUAGCUCAGUUGGUAGAAUGCUCGCUUACCAAAAGCAAAGCCCUGGGUCCCAGCGCUCAGGAGGCAGGCGGGAGGAAUCGGCUGUCAUUGGCCGCCUAGGGAGUUCAGGCCAGACUGGGCUACAUGAGAGAUCCAGUCUCAAAGCACAAAGGAAAGGAAUAACAUGAUACAGCAAACAAUAUUCCUGGACGCUCUGCUCCUGAGACGGAUCCAGGGAGUGAUCUCUCUGUGGAGGUGAUAAGAGUCUGGGCCCAGACCCGCCUGUACUCUGAUUUGUCCCUCCUGUAAAAUAACUCCUGACUAGACAUUAACAUUUUUAAGGUUUCAUUUGUGUGUGUUUGUUUAUCGAGACAGGGUCUCUCUACAAAGCCCUGUCCUCCCACCUGUUAACCCUUCAAAAAUGUAAAAGGAGAUAUUGGACAAUGGUCAUUCUAGACCCUGGAGGCAGGAGGUUCCAGAGUGUAAGACCGGGUGAUGUGAAACUGACUCAAAACACAGUAAAAAGGUAAAAUAGAAAUGCUGAUGUUGAGAAGCUAAUCUUCCUUGACAUAUGGAGCGAAGAUACUCCAUGCUGCUCUUCCAAUGCUAGCAUAUCUAAUGAUGGGAAAGGAGGAUUUGCUGGGUGGUUAACAGCACCGGAUUAGGGUCCCAUUCCCAACCCACACAGCUAUAACUCCACUUCCAAGGGAUCCAGUGCAGUCUGUGACCUCCCCAAGCAUCAGGCACACGGUACAUAUACAUAUGUGCAGGCAAAACAUUCACUUACAUAAAAAUAAACCCUUGGACUGGACAUGAUGGUGCACGCCUUUAAAUCCCCACACUUGGGAGGCAGAAGCAGGUGGAUCUCUGUGAGUUUGAGGCCAGCCUGACCUGUUUGAGUCCAGGCAGCCAAGGCUACACAGAGAAACUCUGUCUCAAAAAAACUACAAAAAAAAAAAAAAAAAAGGGUGGGGGUGGGGGAUGCUGAAGUAAGAGCUUACUGGCAGAGCAGUUGCCUACAGCAGUCUGGGGUCUGGGUUUAGUGUCUGUCCCCGGCAAAAAGGAAAGACUUUUUAUUCUUUGUUUUGAGGCAAAGUGUUCUGUAGCUCAGCCUGUGCUCUUAACUAGAUACAUAGUCCAGUGUGACUUCUUGUUGCUGUUUGUUUUUCUUUUUCUUGCAAUGGUGUUUUGGCUGCAUGCCUGUCUGUGUGAGAGAAUCAGCAGCCCUGGAACUAGAGGUACAGAUAGAUGUGAGCCGCCAAGAACAGCAGUAGCUGUGGAGCGUGUGCUGCAGAGGGUAGAGCUGGAGAAGUGACCCAAGCCUUUAGCGGAGCCCAGAUCAUGAGAGGAUCCCAGACACUGGACACGGAAUUAUUUCCAUUAUUGGAAUUGUGGUUUACUUUGUUCAAAUGCUGACUGGUUCUUCCCUCUUGAGCUACUUCACAUGAGAGCCGUCUCUUGCUCACUGCAGUCUCCAAGGUUUCCACUAUCAAGUAAGCUGACCUUUUCAAAUUGAAUGAAGGCCUUCGACAGCUGGAGAAACAUGUAGAGGCUGGAGUCCCCGCCUUUAAGGGAGCGAUUCAGCUGGUUUGAGCCUAAUGUUUGCUAGGUGAAGUGGACUGGCAAACAGCUGGGGUCUCUCUCGGCCCAUGACUUGGGUGGCCAAAAGCCAACCUGCUGUCUGUAGCCCUUUCUGCCUUUCCGCGCAUGAGCAGCCUGCUGCUUCCAGACCAGCCUCGAAGGACCUGUACAGAGCCCCAGUGUUCAGGGUUCACACUGUGAAUCCGAUGGAUGCGGCCACCAUCGUGAAGACGCCUUCAAGACUGGAUUGAGGAAGGUGGGGCGAAACUGGCCAUUGGGCCAGAGUGCUGUUGCCACAGGCAGUGCAGGAGCCUGAGUCUGUGUGCCUUCACACCAAACGCUCCUCCCCAAUGGCUCAUGGCAUGGGAUUGUGCAGUUACGAAGGAGACCGCACGCUCUAUUCAGCAGCAUACAGACUAACCGAGAGCAAUACAGAGAUUAGCAUGGCCCCUGUGCAAGCAUGACAUGCAAGCUCAUGAAGCAUUAUUUUUCUGUUUUUUAUUAUGUUAAAAAAAAAAAAAGAAAGCUUUCCAAAGGCUGUAUUUGGCAUGAGCUGAUGCCACUGCGAAUGCUGCCAGUGGCCAGGCACAGGCGCGUGAAGCCCUGAGGAGUUGGGAGGGAGGAUGAGCGGGCAGAAGAGGAAAUAGCCAGUGCAGGUCCCUGCCCUAGGAGCCCAAGGGAUAAAGGUCCUGCAUUAAAGGACCAUAUACAUGAUCCUCUUUGGUCAGGCAAAGACCCCUUAUACAGGUCUAGAAGGCAAAAGGGCACAGGCUCAGCCCUGGAGCCUCAGCUGUAGGCUCAUCACACUGAGGUAAGAGGCAAGGCAAGAAGAUAGAGCAGGGUCAGGCUGUCACCACCCAGCUCCUAGGAACUGCCUCUAUCUUUGUCAUCCAUCAGGUCAUACCUAGGGAAACAAGGACAUGAGUUCAGACAGAGUGAAGACUCGUGCAUCUGUUUUGUUUUCUGAGGUAGGGUCUCUCAUUCUGUCUUAGCCCAGGCUGCUCUUGAACUCUCAACUCUCCAGCUCUCCACAGGCCCACUUGUGUUCUCUCGUGAGUAAAAGACAUGCCAAGGGCUUCUGCUAAAGAACCAACGGUUCUCAGCUUUGGUUGUGACUGGGGUUUCUCCAGAGCACAGAAGCAGAAGCAGUCUCAUCCCUUCUGUGUGACACUUACCACUGGGCUGCGCCCUGGGAAAGGUCCAUCUCAGCGAGAUCCAGCUGCACCUGGCGGGGAGGACGGCAGGGGCAAGAUGUUGUUCUGGUAUUUCCAAAGAGCAUGUCCCAUCAUCAUAGACUUCUAUAUUUUCAAAGGACUCAAAGAGGAUAGGGUCCCUGACCGGGUGGCACCCUGCUUGUCUCCGGUCCCAGCAGCAUUAAUUCCUUGCCUCUGCCUGGCCCUCUUACCUUUCCCAGAAGCUCACGCUCUCUUGACAUGAAGGAGGAGUUUGACUUCACAGAAACAUGGAGCUUCCGCCUGAGAGACCCAUCCAGUGGCAGCUCCCACUCAAACCUGGGGAAGGCACGCGAUGGUAGAGCCGGGGGCCAGCUGAAGCCCUCCCUGUCUCCAUGUAAAUGCCCAUUUACUGACCGCUCAUUGAACUCAGGAUUGAGAGUCCGCUUCUUCUGUGAGGUCUUCCUCUUGGUGACCCGGUUCUUGUCCGGCAGUAGCAACAGUGACACAUACGGGUCUGGGAGAUCACGUCCGUUUGGCUGAAGGGCCCUGCAACACAAGGAUGUGGGCACUGGAGCACUCAAGGCAAAGGAUGGAGGGGACGGCGGAGGACAUUUGGCAGCAUCUCACCGGCAGCUGUGAAUAAUGCUGAUCAGCUUUUGUUCAUCACUGUGGUACCACACCGUCAGCUUCACCUGGCCCAGAGGCCCAACAGGAGCCUCCGAGGGACUGUGGAGAGACAACAGCAUGUCAGAAGAAGAGGACAGCAGAUUCUAGGAUAGAUGGCUGUGAGCCACCAUGCAGUUGCUGGGAACUGAACUCAGGACCUCUGGAAGAGCAGCCGGCGUCUUACCUGCUGAGCAUCUCCAGCCCCCAAAUCCUUUUUCAGUGCUGGGGAUUGAAGCUAGGGUCUUGAGCACACUAAGCAAGCACAGAGCUGCACACAUCCCAAACCCAAAUUCUUAGCAUGCUAUUCAGGAGUCCCUAUGCUCAGCCUCUCUAUAAUAAACUUCUUUUUUUUUUCUUCCUUACCCUGAAAGGUGUUCCUGCUCUAUUUAAAACUUCCUGGUUUUAUUUUAUUUGUGAGAGAGAGUAUGCACACAAUCUGUGCAGGCACCAUCAAGGAUGGCAGGAGGCAUCAGAUCCUGUGGAGCUGUGGUGCCUGCUGAGCUCCACCGCUGACCUUUCUAGUCUUGUUGGUUGCGGCCUGUCUGCCCUUAAGUUCACAAGCCUCCCAAGGAUGUUUUCCUCACUGCCCCACCUCAUCCCUGCCUUGUGGGACCUCUCCUUUUCUCGCCAUAUUUCCUGCCUGUACACUUACUUAUGCUUCUGUAAGUAUCCUCUGGUUAUUGUCCUCCCAUAACAGAGGGACUCCUCAGGGUGAGGACUCAGGCUUUCCUUCCCUUUUGUUUUUUUUUUUUUGAAAUGGGGUCUUACUAGCUCAGAUUGUCCUUGAACUCAGGACAGUCCUCCUGCUUCGGACUCUCAAGUGUUGUGACUACAGGUGUUUGUCACCCUGUGCCUGGUCUGUGGCUGGAGUCCACGGGUCCCCUGUGCAGUGCGUUUACAGUACCUGCAGCUCCAGGCUCUCAGCGUGUGGCUUCUUGAUGAGAAAGGAGGCACUCUCCUCCCAGACAGGGGCUGCCGUUUGUGAGACAGUCUGUUGGUGAUGAGGGGUUAUGAUGAGUGGCAGGCCUCAGUCUUGAGUCUCUUGCUGCCCAUUCUUAACAGUGAAGGGUCCCCUUACAAAGCAUCUUGUCCUACCUUGGUUUUAUAAGAAGUCUCUCCUACGGUGAGAGUAAUGUAAGGGUUGGGAAGUUUGGUCCCUUUUCGGAGCUGGAAACAGAAUAUCAUUUACUCAUAAAUUUGGAUCUAGUUAAGUCUCCCCUUCAUACAAAGUAAAGCCAGUUAGCCCAUAGCCACAUCUCCACUUUCACGUGAUCAUCCUCAUAACUUUGGAUAAUCUCACCCCAGCACCAUCCUCAAGUGGGACCCUUAACUCUUCCAAUUCUACAAGGAGCAUUUACACCCAAGGGCCUGAAGAUGGGCUAGGGAGCUCUGGGGAGCUGCUCGCUCUUGGCUCUUACCGGCAGAUCUUCCGCUCGCUCCAAGUAGACUGACAACAGGGCUGCCGCCAGCUCCGCGCUCUUCUGAGUCUGGAUCAGGCUGUUCACCUGCAGCACCUGGGACACAGUAGGCUGUGAUGGGACCUGACAGAAGGGCUCACCUUGCCCCAUCCUGUCUCCAGCUGCUCUCCUCACCUCCUCCAACUCAGCAGCAGUGGGUCUAGGGGUCAGACGCUCCAGGCGCAAGUGCAGGCGGCCAGAUGGGACAUCCUCCAGGGUCAGCCACUAUGAAUACAGGCAGGAAAAGUCUUGAGGAUGAGAGAACAGAAAUGAUGAAAAUGAGGCUUGGUCCAGAUCAGGAGGGCCUGGCUCUCAUGCUCACCUCAUCAAGGAAGCCACUGUUGAGGACCGUGGUGAGACUCACUCUAUACCUGUGGUGGAGAAUGAAGAUGAGGGCCUUAUGGUUGAUACCGUGGCUUGUGGUGCCCAGCCUAUCUGUCCACUGGAACUUAGUCCUACACAUUUUCUUUUUCUUUUGGUUUUUUCAAGACAGGGUUUCUCUGUGUAGCCCUGCCUGUCCUGGACUCACUUUGUAGACCAGGCUGGCCUCAAACUCAGAGAUCCACCUGCCUCUGCCUCCCUGGUGCUGGGACCACAGGUGUGCGCCACCACAGCUGGCUCCUUCCUACCCUCUCACCUGCCCAAAAAGUCAUCUUUGUCCACGUCCUUGUCAAAGACCUCAAGCUCAAGCUCCUGGCCUGGGAUUGAUGUGACAAUAACCUAAUGGGAGAAAACAGUGCGGAUGAAAGGGAUAUCUUCACUUUUCUUCCCGUGACUGCCAGCAGCAGCCGCUAUUGCUACAGACAGGAGAGUCCCAGCCACUCACUUCUGACCUCAAAAACCUCAUUCCAUCGGGGAUUGAGAUCUUCCCGAACAACGCGAGUCCGGAAGCUCUGCCCUGCCACCUUCAGUUUGACGUAGGGGUCUGAUUUGCCCUUCACCAAUCCCCCUAAGAAACGGUCUUUGGCAAUUAGGUCCUGAGCCGCUAAUACAUGGAUCCGAAGAACAUUCUGUGGAAGGAACAGAUGGGCAAGGCCUCUCAGAACCACCCCUAACACAAGCAGAGAGAGCCUUACAGUUUCUAGGUAUCGACUUACCUCAGUCCCAAAGUGGCUGUUAGGAGUUGUAUGAUAGGGCCGAGGUGGGGCAUCCACACUGCUGCCUGUUUGGGGGCUCUCGCUGUCCAGGUCCCUGGCACCAGGCACAGGAGGGAAGCAGACUUCCGAUGCAUCUAAGUAUAAGAUCUGCGAAAGACAGUGUGAUUGCAGGAGCAAGGAGGCACGGAUGGGCACAGUCAGGAGAUGAGCCACAGAGCUGGGGGGCAGGGCAGAGCUCAUCUCAUUCCUUCCCCCAGUCACAUCAGAGAGCACUUUCGAUGUGCCUGCAGACACUUCAGUAUUUGCUAGCUCCUCUUCCAUGCUCUGAAUACCAAGGGAUCCACAGGGCUCCCCAGCCUCCUGCGCUUCCUCCAUUGCCAUACCCGCAUGACCAGUUUCAUGUAGAGCCUGGAGUUUGGGCCUGAGCUGCUGAGCUGGAACCACUGGUCCAUGGUAAGUUCAGAGGCAGUUAGCAGGCGAGCCAGGGGGAGAGUCAGUGCCCCCAAAGUCAGGGCCCUGGAGUCAUCCUUCACCUACGGGAGCAGGAGGAAAGAGGGACAGUCAUUAGGGAAGAGGAAGGUGUAUUGAGGAAACUAUAACAUGACUCCAGCUCUGUUCUCCCCCCUAUUUCCCUCUGAAAGUUAUAAACCUUUUGUUCCACUCAGGGCAUAUUUUUACCGUAUUUUGUCAACACUACCGUCUCUUCUACUUUUGCUCUUUCUGUUCCCUAAGUAAGUUUUCAUUCUUUCCCUCCUGCCUAUUUCAACCCUACUUAUCUAUCCUUUAGGCUCGGCUGAAACCUUUGUUCAUGGUGUGUGAAUGAUGGUGUACAUCAUUAGGAUGUGUCCCGUGUGUACGUGUGGAGGUCAGAGAACAAUUUUGUAGCAUUGGUUCUCUCUUUCCACCUGUAUGUAUAUUCUGGGGAUUGAACUCCAGUCACCAGGCUGUAUAUCUUUACCCACCGAGCCAGGGCUUUGCUGGCUCCAGUCUGCAAAUUCUAUUUGUGCCUGCCCCCAUGUCUUCCUUGACCACCUUCAAUCUGUGCAGAACUUACAUGUUUCCUCCAUAAAACUGGGCAGUGAGCAAGGAAGCUAUGACACAGUGUUUUGAUUCUUCCAUGACUUCUAAAUGCUGGGUGUUAAUUUUUAUAGGAGCACAGUCUGCAUUCCUCAAAAUUACUCAUUUCAAAUAUAGUUUCCAGUUAUAAAAAUCAAUUCCAGGCCAGGUAUGGACUAAGACAGAGGCAGGUGAAUUUCUUUGAGUUUGAGGCCACCCUGGCCUACACCAUGAGGCCCUGUCAAAAAACAAAGUUGGACGUGGUGGCUCACACAUUUAAUCCCAGCAGCUGGGAGGUACAAAUGAAGCCCUACCCUGAAACCUACCCCCCCCCGUCUGUCUGUAUGUAUGUCUUUCUCUCUCUCUCUCUCUCUCUCUCUCUCUCUCACACACACACACACACACCAAUAAAACUUGAAAAGACAGGAUAAGGCUGCUGCUCUUACCUGCACAUCAAGCUCCUGGCUUUGAGGGUCUUGCAGGAAAAAUCGGAAAGCCUCUUCCCACACUGGGCAGUUGGUACUGUAGGUAGCCUGAGAGGUGAUGGCACAGACCAUGUACCCAACACCAUUCCCAUUUGGGUUGAAACUCUGAACUCGCAACCAUCCUGUGGCCCCUUAGCCCCAACCAAUGAUGCUGUGACCCUUACCUUGCUCUCUUGGGUCACAUCCUGAACUGACAGUUGCACCAUGGGGUUGGGUUCCUUGUUCCCCUUCUUCAGCUGUGUUGGGGAACAGAAUUUAGAAGUCAUCCCUUGAGUGUUGGAUAUUUGGGAUUAAAAGACCCUUUUCCUCAA